GAUGAAGAACGUAGCGAAAUGGGAUAAGUAAUGUGAAUUGCAGAAUUCAGUGAAUCAUCGAGUUUUUGAACGCAUAUUGCGCCCUCUGGUAUUCCGGGGGGCAUGCCUGUUCGAGCGUCAUUAAAUAACCCUCAAGCAUAGCUUGGUGUUGGGCUUUUUUACGUCCUUGACUGGGAUGGGCCUAAAAAUUAGUGGCGAUGGCUUUUUUACUUUCAAGCGUAGUAAAUCUCGCCUUGCUAAAGAGGAAAAAGAUUUUUUUUCUGCCAAAAAUUUUAACAUUUAAAGUUGACCUCGGAUCAGGUAGGAUUACCCGCUGAACUUAAGCAUAUCAAUAAGCGGAGGA
This 343-nucleotide unclassified non-coding RNA is filed under the name soil metagenome. RNAcentral describes it as "partial contains 5.8S ribosomal RNA, internal transcribed spacer 2, and large subunit ribosomal RNA". The stretch from base 1 to 120 matches the Rfam family "5.8S ribosomal RNA", at positions 35 to 154 of the family's 154-position model. The record is from RNAcentral.